CAGUAGAACUAGAGAUCAAAUCUUAAAUUAUCUGAUAUAAAUCUUUACAGAGGUCUGGAUGUGCAGAUCCUCUACUUCGCAUGUACAUCAGACGCCACAAGAAAGCAGGAUAAACUUCAAUCCAAUUGCCUUCACAACUCAAUCAAUCGAGGGAUGAGAUGUGCUGGUGUGAUACCUCACACCAGUAGGUGGGAUGUCCAAGAUGGAUCCACACCCA
RNAcentral lists this long non-coding RNA (217 nucleotides) under Elaeis guineensis (African oil palm). RNAcentral's name for it is "long non-coding RNA (EGUI_LNC072928)". Lineage: Eukaryota; Viridiplantae; Streptophyta; Magnoliopsida; Arecales; Arecaceae. The record is from RNAcentral.